RNAcentral lists this ribosomal RNA (2152 nucleotides) under Triticum aestivum (bread wheat). Its description in RNAcentral is "partial small subunit ribosomal RNA". Lineage: Eukaryota; Viridiplantae; Streptophyta; Magnoliopsida; Poales; Poaceae. The record is from RNAcentral.
CUAGAGGUCGGGCCGGGGCUGGGGGCGGGCCGGGGCUGGGGGCGCGCCUGCUCCGGGUCGGUCGCGGCACGGGCGGUCGGUGGAAGGGGCGCGGCUAGAGCCGGCUGCCCCGCCCGUACCCGUGCACGCACAGCGCCGGGUCGCGCACGCACCCCUUCGGGUCGUGCGGCGCGAGGCCGCUGCGCCGCGCCCGGGGGAGCGCGUCCGCGGCGGCGGCGCCCCGGUUCCCGGCGUCCUUCCGCGGGAGGGCGCGGCGGAGGUACCUCUGGUAGGUCCUCCGGCUCCCGGGGGGGCUGGGGAGGCGGCGGCGGCGGCGUAGCCGGAGGCCACUGACGGCCUGGAUGUCGUUGGGCCGGAAGGUUCAGUGGCCCUCGUACCUCCUCCGGACCAUGCUGAGGAAGCGGUAGUCGCUCAGUCUGCCGCUCCUGCUAAAGGUGUCGCACGUUCUGCUACGGAAAAGUGAGUUGCCGAAGCUCUUGCUUCGCCGUAACCCAUGCUCCCUGCGGUUACCGCCCUCGAAGUUACCUCGACUUGUGGGGGUAUCCUUCGGUUCCAGGUCACUCGACGGCUUCCCCGUAAACCUCUUGCCACGCUCCGGGAGACGAUCGGUACUCCUACCCCGCUCACAAAGUCCGCCACGAUCGGGUUCAUCACCUCCCUAUGACCUGUUAACGCCAGAGGACGGUUUAUUGACAAACGGUACAUACCGGAGACGACAACCACACUUACUCUUCUUCUCCCGCGAAAGGUGUUCGGGCUGAGUAAGCUACUUCUACGGAAGCAACUUCGAGAGCAAGUUCUUCUUCAGACCCCUUCGGUUGGGCAGCAGGUGUGACAACAGAUGUUUCCUAAAGGAACUUUCCGGAUAUCGUCCAAGAGUUCAUGUCAAUACAAACGACCUUUUCUUUCACGACUUAUCGACCAGAGUAUAACUAGGACCAUGUAAGUCUCAGGCCCCUAGAUUGAUAGAAUCCCUAUUUUUCUUUCUCGAACGAGUUUUAACACGCCGCAUGAUAGGUAAACCUCAACUACAUAUGAACAGCGGCGUUUUUGAGGUAGUAUAUAGAGCUAAACAGUUCGAAGGACUAUAAGUUUGGAGGUCGUUUGAGGGUGGAGAAAACCACCAGUUACAUGUCCAAGGUGAUAUAGGACGAAGUGAGAAAGUCUUACUUUGGCUACCCCUUCCGUACUCGAAACAAAACAUAAAAUCCGAAAGGCUUCCAAUGAGUUUUCUCGAAAGUGGGAAUAAGUAUCUCUUAUAGUCUUCCAACCAACUACUACUACAUCUUUUUUAUUUUCCUAAAGGAUACCUUUGUUCAUAUAGUAAAGCCCUUGCCGACUUCUAUGAACCUGCCCACCGAUUAGACCUCCUGGAAGGAAAUUCACGGCGCCUCUCCUUCGAUUACGUACGUAUGUUGCUCUUCGGACACGAAAGAUCUGGAGUCGUAGUCAAAAAGGACCCACUAUUGAUGAAACUCCAACUGUAACUGUACGUAUCUAAACCGAUGUAGAGUUCCUUUCCAAAGCUCUGUAAGGACCUGUCCGAUUUUUAUACGUACGAUCUACAACCCGAUUGGUAGGUCCCUUUGUUUGGGCUUCUUAACGGACUCGUCCAGAACACGACACAAUCCAACUUGCCCUAUCUAAUACGUUUCAUAGUCGGUGACUACUGUUUGCCACGGACUUGAACCACUGAACGUUCCUGGUCGAUUGGUAACAAACAAACCCUAGACCCUCCACCGGACUAGUACGGUUCCGCGCCGCCGCUCCGGGGAGCUCCAAAGGCCGGUCCUUUGGCCUCCGCCUGAGAGGAGCAGCCAAGUGGCGGCACUCUUCGAUCGCGCUCGCCGACGUACAUUUUAGACAUAUAGCAAUGUACUCGAGACUGACGGAGACGACGACAACAACGACGGGCACUAAGACCUCGAUCAUUUAUACCGAUUAAACGGGCACCUUACCAUCCAAAGCUACGCGGCGGAGCUGCUCUUUAUCCAAGCCAGCCCGCGUGGACCUUGUACUCCUCCUGGACACCACUUGCGCUCGACGAACGCUACCACACCUUACAACUCGUGGCCUCCGCAACACAUUCACAUUGGGUAUGGGAGUGUACUGGAGUGUACUCUGCUUUUUAUUACCUCGUACAAGACGUUCG